AUUGAACGCUGGCGGCGUGCCUAAUACAUGCAAGUCGAACGCUUCCUACCGGUGCUUGCACCGGGAAAGAAGAGUGGCGGACGGGUGAGUAACACGUGGGUAACCUACCUACAAGCGGGGGAUAACAUUCGGAAACGGAUGCUAAUACCGCAUAGAUCUUUUCGUCUCCUGGCAGAAAGAAGAAAGACGGUUUCGGCUGUCGCUUGUAGAUGGACCCGCGGCGCAUUAGUUAGUUGGUGAGGUAAUGGCUCACCAAGACGAUGAUGCGUAGCCGACCUGAGAGGGUGAUCGGCCACACUGGGACUGAGACACGGCCCAGACUCCUACGGGAGGCAGCAGUAGGGAAUCUUCCGCAAUGGACGAAAGUCUGACGGAGCAACGCCGCGUGAGUGAAGAAGGUUUUCGGAUCGUAAAACUCUGUUGUUAGAGAAGAACAAGGAUGAGAGUAACUGCUCGUCCCUUGACGGUAUCUAACCAGAAAGCCAUGGCUAACUACGUGCCAGCAGCCGCCGUAA
Molecule: ribosomal RNA, 515 nt
Filed under: uncultured bacterium
Lineage: Bacteria
Description: partial 16S ribosomal RNA
Rfam family: Bacterial small subunit ribosomal RNA
Source: RNAcentral